Long non-coding RNA from Hydractinia symbiolongicarpus, 927 nucleotides. RefSeq lists it as uncharacterized. NCBI's taxonomy places the organism in Eukaryota, Metazoa, Cnidaria, Hydrozoa, Anthoathecata, Hydractiniidae. The record is from RefSeq and is a predicted model, not a curated record. The transcript has 3 exons.
GCACACGGCAACGCGUAUUUUGUUAUUGCGCGUGAUGGCACUUAUUUUAAAUCGUCGAAUUCGGCACCUAUUUCGCUUAAGACAGAUGGUGUAUGGGCAGAUAGUGAUUGUUAAGUACCUUAAAUUUGUUUUUUUGAAUGAGACUUGUUUAAACGACCAACAGUGUAUUCAGAUUUCGACGAGGGAAAUGUAAACUUGGCGCAAACAGAGGAAAGUGCAUGACGUAUCAGUCUUGGAAUGAUGGCUAUUAAUCAUGGCUAUGUGCUAGAUAUUCCAGUUAACAUUAGACACAGCUACUAAACUAAAGCACCAAAGCUAGCUAGCUACCUAGCUAUAUAUAUAUUAGCCGAAGUAGUGGACCAGAAGAUGGAGUGUGUGAUGUUGUGUUUAAUUAUUCCAUACCACUGUGUGGUUAAUAGAUAAAGGUGCUAAAAGGUGCAGUUGUUCCAUUUUCAUCUGGUCUGCAUAUUUAUACUCUGUCAAAUAUUUUGCAAGCUUUAAGAGUGUUUGUCAAAGUUUUAUAGUUACCAACUUAGUGUUUUACAGUGGUUCCUGUGGACUUUCUUUUUACAUUUCCUUAAAUUUGAAAUAUCUUUUCAGCUAUUACGUUAUUUUCUCUGGCUGGUCUGCAAAAAUAUAAAUUUCGUACAUUUCUAUGAAGUCUCUCAAUGUUAAGAUUACAGUUUAUAAACAUUUUUGCCGGUUAUUGUAUAAUUGUUUUGCUUUUAUACAUUGAUUUUAUGUUAUUUUUGAGCUACAGCAUCAUUUUUACUAUCUGGUCUGCAAAUUACACUCUUGUCAAAUAUUUUGUACUCUUCAAGAGUGUUUGUAAAAUUUUUGAAUAGUUACUAAUUUGUGGUGUUUUAUUAUGUUCCUGUGAAUUUUUUUCGCAUUUUCAUCAAUUUGGAAAGAUUUUUUCAACUAUGA